UCCCUGAAGGACUAGUGGUUAGGCUUCGGCACUCUAACUGCUGCGGCCCUGGUUCGAUUCCCAGCUAGGAAA
Molecule: non-coding RNA, 72 nt
Organism: Pangasianodon gigas (Mekong giant catfish)
Lineage: Eukaryota; Metazoa; Chordata; Actinopteri; Siluriformes; Pangasiidae
Source: the annotation of a GenBank genome assembly